GUGGGGAAUAUUGGGCAAUGGGGGCAACCCUGACCCAGCGACGCCGCGUGGGGGAAGACGGCCUUCGGGUUGUAAACCUCUUUUGUACGGGAAGAAGGAAGUGACGGUACUGUACGAAUAAGUCCCGGCUAACUACGUGCCAGCAGCCGCGGUAAUACGUAGGGGACGAGCGUUGUCCGGAAUUACUGGGCGUAAAGGGCGCGCAGGCUGUGCUGCAAGUCAGCUGUUAAAUGUCUGGGCUUAACCCGGGCAUGCGGUUGAGACUGCGGUGCUGGAGUGCUGUAGAGGCAAGUGGAAUUCCCAGUGUAGCGGUGAAAUGCGUAGAUAUUGGGAAGAACACCGGUGGCGAAGGCGACUUGCUGGGCAGCAACUGACGCUGAGGCGCGAAAGCCAGGGGAGCAAACGGGAUUAGAAACCCUAGUAGUCC
RNAcentral lists this ribosomal RNA (427 nucleotides) under uncultured bacterium. RNAcentral's name for it is "partial 16S ribosomal RNA". It matches the Rfam family "Bacterial small subunit ribosomal RNA", at positions 354 to 796 of the family's 1533-position model. The record is from RNAcentral.